Non-coding RNA from Schistosoma curassoni, 45 nucleotides. The record is from Rfam. NCBI's taxonomy places the organism in Eukaryota, Metazoa, Platyhelminthes, Trematoda, Strigeidida, Schistosomatidae.
AUCAAGCUGAUGAUUCCCAAAUAAGACGAAACGCGAGUCCUGGAU